This 600-nucleotide ribosomal RNA is filed under the name uncultured bacterium. RNAcentral describes it as "bacterial SSU rRNA". It matches the Rfam family "Bacterial small subunit ribosomal RNA", at positions 100 to 666 of the family's 1533-position model. The record is from RNAcentral.
GUACGGGUGCGGAACACGUUGAGCACCUGCCUUUAUCUGGGGGAUAGCCUUUCGAAAGGAAGAUUAAUACCCAUAAUAUGUUGAAUGGCAUCAUUCGACAUUGAAAAAAAAAAACCCCCGGUGGAUAGAGAUGGGCACGCGCAAAGAUUAGAUAGUUGGUGAGGUAACGGCUCACCAAAAGUUCUACGAAAUCUUUUAGGGGGCCUGAGAGGGUGAUCCCCCACACUGGUACUGAGACACGGACCAGACUCAUACGGGAGGCAGCAGUGAGGAAUAUUGGACAAUGGGUGAGAGCCUGAUCCAGCCAUCCCGCGUGAAGGACGACUGCUCUAUGGGUUGUAAACUUCUUUUGUAUAGGGAUAAACCUUACCCUCGUGAGGGUAAGCUGAAGGUACUAUACGAAUAAGCACCGGGCUAACUCCGUGCCAGCAGCCGCGGUAAUACGGAGGGUGCAAGCGUUAUCCGGAUUUUAUUGGGUUUAAAGGGUCCCGUAGGCGGGACCUGGUAAAGUCAAGUGGUGAAAUUCCUCCACAGUUUAACUGUGAAACUGCCAAUUGGAUUAACUGCAGGUUCUUGGAGUUGUUGUUAAAGUUACUGGAA